RNAcentral lists this unclassified non-coding RNA (278 nucleotides) under Hevea brasiliensis (rubber tree). Lineage: Eukaryota; Viridiplantae; Streptophyta; Magnoliopsida; Malpighiales; Euphorbiaceae. The record is from RNAcentral.
GAAAUGAGUUAAUUAUUAUUUUUUUUUUUGCUACAUCAACAUCUUGGGUUUGAUUGGUUUCCAAUGUUACAAAUGAAACCUUCUUUCUUUUUGUGAACCUAAAAAUUAGGACACAUUAAUCUGUACAGAAACAUCCUACGGUUGUACAAUACAAUUAGGUAAGGCUCGGGUGGCUCCUCCUCUAAGAGACCAUAUCUUGGUCUCAUCCCCAGGAGCACAAAUGGUGAACCCACCAUUCUGUGGUCAACUUAAAUCAAAGAGAUGAUGGAAAAAAAAAA